AGAUUAGAUUAUUUAAUUAAUGAAUUUGAUAUCUGCAAAAUAUCAAAAAUGGGGAUCCACUAAUUAU
RNAcentral lists this transfer RNA (67 nucleotides) under Clavelina oblonga. RNAcentral's name for it is "transfer RNA-Cys". The record is from RNAcentral. Lineage: Eukaryota; Metazoa; Chordata; Ascidiacea; Aplousobranchia; Clavelinidae.